GAUGAACGCUGGCGGCGUGCCUAAUACAUGCAAGUCGAGCGAACAGAUGAGGAGCUUGCUCCUCUGACGUUAGCGGCGGACGGGUGAGUAACACGUGGAUAACCUACCUAUAAGACUGGGAUAACUUCGGGAAACCGGAGCUAAUACCGGAUAAUAUAUUGAACCGCAUGGUUCAAUAGUGAAAGACGGUUUUGCUGUCACUUAUAGAUGGAUCCGCGCCGCAUUAGCUAGUUGGUAAGGUAACGGCUUACCAAGGCGACGAUGUGUAGCCGACCUGAGAGGGUGAUCGGCCACACUGGAACUGAGACACGGUCCAGACUCCUACGGGAGGCAGCAGUAGGGAAUCUUCCGCAAUGGGCGAAAGCUUGACGGAGCAACGCCGCGUGAGUGAUGAAGGUCUUCGGAUCGUAAAACUCUGUUAUUAGGGAAGAACAAAUGUGUAAGUAACUAUGCACGUCUUGACGGUACCUAAUCAGAAAGCCACGGCUAACUACGUG
This 497-nucleotide ribosomal RNA is filed under the name uncultured bacterium. RNAcentral describes it as "partial 16S ribosomal RNA". It matches the Rfam family "Bacterial small subunit ribosomal RNA", at positions 28 to 507 of the family's 1533-position model. The record is from RNAcentral.